This 607-nucleotide ribosomal RNA is filed under the name uncultured bacterium. RNAcentral's name for it is "bacterial SSU rRNA". It matches the Rfam family "Bacterial small subunit ribosomal RNA", at positions 51 to 635 of the family's 1533-position model. The record is from RNAcentral.
AGACAUGCAAGUCGAGCGAGAUUUUUUCCUGUUAGCAAUACAGGGAAAAGUCUAGCGGCGAACGGGUGCUUAACACGUGGGCAAUCUGCCGAGAAGUGGGGGAUAGCUCGCCGAAAGGCGAAUUAAUACCGCAUGUGAUUAGAGUGGACAUCCAUUCAAAAUCAAAGUCGGGGCAACCUGACGCUUCUUGAGGAGCCCGCGGCCUAUCAGCUAGUUGGUGAGGUAACGGCCCACCAAGGCUUUGACGGGUAGCUGGUCUGAGAGGACGACCAGCCACACUGGGACUGAGACACGGCCCAGACACCUACGGGUGGCAGCAGUCGAGAAUUUUUCUCAAUGGGGGAAACCCUGAAGGAGCGACGCCGCGUGGAGGAUGAAGGUCUUCGGGUUGUAAACUCCUGUCAUUUGGGAACAAUGCGCAAAUAUUAACUGUAUUUGCGUUGAUAGUACCAGAAGAGGAAGAGACGGCUAACUCUGUGCCAGCAGCCGCGGUAAUACAGAGGUCUCAAGCGUUGUUCGGAUUCAUUGGGCGUAAAGGGUGCGUAGGCGGCGCGGUAAGUCGGGUGUGAAAUCUCGGAGCUUAACUCCGAAACUGCAUUCGAUACUG